Molecule: long non-coding RNA, 626 nt
Filed under: Chrysolophus pictus (golden pheasant)
Lineage: Eukaryota; Metazoa; Chordata; Aves; Galliformes; Phasianidae
Description: lncRNA (ENSCPIG00010001195.1)
Source: RNAcentral
CUGGAGAUGCAAUCCUGGGAAGCAUCCUCAAUCCAGAGGCACGGAACAGCAUAGCAGAGGACCUGGGUGAUCUCAACACGAGUAGAAGUGAUUAAAUCGAAGAGAGCCGGCACAGCAAGGUCGCACACGGCAGGAAGGAGAAGGUGAAUUUCUGCUGUCAGCUGGGAAUGGAGCAGGAGGAAAAACGUCGGAGUGACCCAGUUAAUGGGUGUCAAUCAAGGGGUGGUGGAGCUGGGAGUGGAAGCACUCUGCAGUUCUGCUGAUGUUUGUUGCACAGCACCAAGCUGUCUCCUCCCACACAGCUCCUGGAGGUCCGGGCACAUGCUCCAGGAGGAUUCCCCAAGUGACCCGUGGAAGAGGCCCCUUUAUAGCAGCUGGACCGAAGCAGGAGAACUCAGAGCUCCCUCCACCUGAGAGUGAUAAGUGAUUUUGUCCACUUUUCAUCCCCGUUACCUCUUUUCAUCCAUACAUCACCUCUAUGCUGUCCAUCCUGGUCACUGAGGGCCACAACCCACUGCUGGCACCCAGCAAUGCCCCACAGCAGCCCUGCAUUGGGCACUGCUCUCCUGAGCACUGGUACAGUUGGGAAUGGAAUGAGAGCACUCCUUGGGACUCUGCCUGCUGCU